GAUGAAGAACGCAGCGAAAUGCGAUAAGUAAUGUGAAUUGCAGAAUUCAGUGAAUCAUCGAAUCUUGAACGCACCUUGCGCCCUUUGGCUAUUCCGAAGGGCAUGCCUGUUUGAGUAUCAUGAACACCUCAACUCUCAUGGCUUGCCAUGAUGAGCUUGGACUUUUGGGGGUCUUGCUGGCCUGUGGUCAGCUCCUCUCAAAUGAAUUAGCCUGCCAGUGUUUGGUGGCAUCACAGGUGUGAUAACUAUCUACGCUUGUGGUUUUCCACCAGGUAACCUUCAGUGAUGAAGGUUCGCUGGGGCUCAUAAACGUCUCUCCUCAGUGAGGACAGCUCUUUGAACGUUUGAUCUCAAAUCAGGUAGGACUACCCGCUGAACUUAAGCAUAUCAAUAAGCGGAGGA
RNAcentral lists this unclassified non-coding RNA (402 nucleotides) under soil metagenome. RNAcentral's name for it is "partial contains 5.8S ribosomal RNA, internal transcribed spacer 2, and large subunit ribosomal RNA". The stretch from base 1 to 120 matches the Rfam family "5.8S ribosomal RNA", at positions 35 to 154 of the family's 154-position model. The record is from RNAcentral.